RNAcentral lists this ribosomal RNA (719 nucleotides) under Flavoparmelia soredians. RNAcentral's name for it is "SSU rRNA". It matches the Rfam family "Bacterial small subunit ribosomal RNA", at positions 378 to 1044 of the family's 1533-position model. Lineage: Eukaryota; Fungi; Ascomycota; Lecanoromycetes; Lecanorales; Parmeliaceae. The record is from RNAcentral.
CAAUAGCUACUUGCAUCAUAGUUAAUAUGACGCAAGCUCGACUAAGUUGAAUAAAAUUCUAGGUAGAAUUAUGAUAAUGACAUUGUCUGCCUAUGUGUCUUGACCAAAUUACGUGCCAGCAGUCGCGGUAAUACGUAGAAGACUAGUGUUAUUCAUGUUUAAUCGGUUUAAAGGGUACCUAGACGGUGAAUCAAGCUUUCGUGUAAAUAAUAAAAACCAGAAAAUCCAGAUUAUAUAAGAAACUUAUUUACAUAUGAUAAGGACUAAUUUACUAGAGUUACUUAUGAGGGGGUAUUAAAGUACUGCUGGUGUAGAGAUGAAAUUCUGUCAUACCUCUUUUCGAAAGAAAAAUCAUGGCACAGGUAUAGGCGAAGGCAUCCCCUUAUGUGCUAACUGACGUUGAGGGACGAAGGCUUCAUGUAACAAACAGGAUUAGAUACCCUAGUAGUUGAAGCAGAAAAUGAUGAAUGUCAUAGAUUAGAUAUCUAAGUUUAUUCUAUAAAUGAAAGUGUAAGCAUUCCACCUCAUGAGUAAUUUGGCAACAUUGGAAUUGAAAUCAUUAGACCGUUUCUGAAACCAGUAGUGAAGUAUGUUGUUUAAAUUGAUAACCCGCAAAAAACCUUACCACAAUUUGAAUAUUUAUAUCUUUUAUUGUUUUCAUCUUAAUUUUCUUAUGAUUUUAGAAAUAAAAAUAAAAAAUAUUAAGAACAAGGCAAUAA